Long non-coding RNA from Salvia splendens (bonfire salvia), 775 nucleotides. RefSeq lists it as uncharacterized. NCBI's taxonomy places the organism in Eukaryota, Viridiplantae, Streptophyta, Magnoliopsida, Lamiales, Lamiaceae. The transcript is spliced from 2 exons. The record is from RefSeq and is a predicted model, not a curated record.
AGCUUGAGUUGAGCAUGGAAAGCUUGUGGGAAGGGAGAAGAAAUGUUACCUAUGGGGAGUAGGGGCUGCCUGCAAUAAUCCUGCAGAAACUUUACCGAGCUCCCUCACUAUCAAACUUGCUAUUGUGGCUGAAUUUUCAAAGUGUGUGGGAGGGGGAACUUGAGGGUGAUAAAGAGGGGUUCUUAUAGGCACAUUGUAGUAUACUUAGGAGGAUUAAAUGACUGUUGCAACAGUUUUGUUUUCAUUUGCUGCAGCAUAUCGAUUUCUCCUUGAUUCUCACCACUUUUAAUUAAGAACUUUUGGUUUUAUGCUUGGGCCCAAGUAUCCUUGUAUUAAUGUGCUUUGUUUGGUCUUGCAUAGUGUAAAAGGAGAGGAUGCAGGGGCUGCCUUGAGGGGUGGAUUUGCAGGCAUUGACUUUCCUUUUUGGGUUGGGAAAGGCUCAGCUGCCACCUGGCUACCCGAGACAUGGGCAUGCUGGCCCGGGCCCGACGGUUGCUCGGAUAUGGGCCGUGGUGGGGGUGAGAUUUGGGCUUGGAAAAAGAGGCCCAAAGUGUAGAUAGUAGGAGCUUUUAGUUUCUUAGUCUUCUUGGCUCAUUCAUGAAUAUUUUUUAAAAGUAUAGUAACCCAUAUUCUUUUCUUUCCGUUCAUAAAUCACACGUGAGAUGAUCAUAUAGGUUAAUGUAUUAUUCGAGAUGUAUACGAACACUUUAGUUCGAGAAGAACGACUUUAACUCCUUGUACAACGUUCAUUGUAUUUCAUAACUAUACGUUAGAA